UACGUAGGGCGCAAGCGUUGACCGGAAUUAUUGGGCGUAAAGAGCUCGUAGGCGGCCUGUCGCGUCGGAUGUGAAAGCCCGGGGCUUAACCCCGGGUCUGCAUUCGAUACGGGCAGGCUAGAGUGUGGUAGGGGAGAUCGGAAUUCCUGGUGUAGCGGUGAAAUGCGCAGAUAUCAGGAGGAACACCGGUGGCGAAGGCGGAUCUCUGGGCCAUUACUGACGCUGAGGAGCGAAAGCGUGGGGAGCGAACAGG
RNAcentral lists this ribosomal RNA (253 nucleotides) under uncultured bacterium. Its description in RNAcentral is "partial 16S ribosomal RNA". It matches the Rfam family "Bacterial small subunit ribosomal RNA", at positions 524 to 776 of the family's 1533-position model. The record is from RNAcentral.